RNAcentral lists this microRNA (22 nucleotides) under Limulus polyphemus (Atlantic horseshoe crab). Its description in RNAcentral is "Lpo-Mir-193-P1r_3p (mature (guide))". RNAcentral also lists the same sequence under 1 other name. Lineage: Eukaryota; Metazoa; Arthropoda; Merostomata; Xiphosura; Limulidae. The record is from RNAcentral.
UACUGGCCUGUUAAGUCCCAAG